This 479-nucleotide ribosomal RNA is filed under the name uncultured bacterium. Its description in RNAcentral is "partial 16S ribosomal RNA". It matches the Rfam family "Bacterial small subunit ribosomal RNA", at positions 28 to 507 of the family's 1533-position model. The record is from RNAcentral.
GACGAACGCUGGCGGCGUGCUUAACACAUGCAAGUCGAACGAAGCUUGAUUACGGAUUCUUCGGGUGAAGUAAGAUAUGAAUGAGUGGCGGACGGGUGAGUAACUCGUGAGUAACCUGCCCUUCAGAGGGGGAUAGCGUUUGGGAACGAACGGUAAUACCGCAUAAUGUAUUUUGACCGCAUGAUCGAAAUACCAAAGAUUUAUCGCUGAAGGAUGGACUCGCGUCUGGUUAGGUAGUUGGUGGGGUAACGGCCUACCAAGCCGACGAUCAGUAGCCGGACAGAGAGACCGAGCGGCCAAAUUGUGAGUGAGACACGGGCCAGACUCGUACGGGAGGCAGCAGUGGGGAAGAUUGCACAAUGGGCGCAAGCCUGAUGCAGCAACGCCGCGUGAAGGAAGACGGUUUUCGGAUUGUAAACUUCUGUUCUUAGGGAAGAAUAAUGACGGUAGCUAAGGAGCAAGCCACGGCUAACUACGUG